This 253-nucleotide ribosomal RNA is filed under the name uncultured bacterium. RNAcentral describes it as "partial 16S ribosomal RNA". It matches the Rfam family "Bacterial small subunit ribosomal RNA", at positions 524 to 776 of the family's 1533-position model. The record is from RNAcentral.
UACGUAGGGUGCAAGCGCUGCCCGGAUUUCUUGGGCGUAAAGGGCGCGUAGGCGGCUCUGCACGUUCGUUGUGAAAUCGCCCGGCUCAACUGGGCGGGGUCAGCGGAUACGGCAGAGCUUGAGCAAGCUAGGGGGCAAUGGAAUUCCCGGUGUAGUGGUGGAAUGCGUAGAUAUCGGGAGGAACACCAGUGGCGAAGGCGGUUGCCUGGGGCUUUGCUGACGCUGAUGCGCGAAAGCGUGGGGAGCAAACAGG